GACAAAGAAAUCGCAGGCGUCUCGAAAACAUUGAUGAGAUGCCGGAUGUUUCCUUUCAAGAAAGGUUUCGCCUGGACAAACCAACGUUCAGAGAACUUUGUGGAGACCUAAGGGCUCGUACAAAUCUGCGUGGUACAAAUGCCAUUCCCAUUGAAGUUAAGAUAUUAUGUGCCCUAAGUUUUCUGGCUACAGGGUCCUACCAGAGAAUUGUUGGUGUCACCCAGCAUCUGCCACAGCGCACAGCCAGUAGAUGCAUCCGGCAAGUUGUUGAGGCACUGAACCACCCCAGUAUCACAAACAAGUGGAUAGUGUUCCCGCUAACACGACAAGAAAGAGUGAAAAUAAAACAAGAAUCUGUGACAGCAAUUUAAAAAUAAUGAAUGUAAAUUCAAAGUUUGGUGGAGCAACACAUGACUCGCACAUAUGGGCUGCAGGUCAAGCAGAACCAUACAUGCGUGAAUUGCAUAGAAAUGGAGAACAAGUUUGGCUAUUAGGUGACUCCGGAUAUGCCCAGAGAGCCUGGCUCAUGACGCCUAUACUCAAUGCUGCAGAAGGUUCGCGAGAAGCGGAAUACACAAGGCGGCACAUCCAAGCGAGAAAUUGCAUAGAAAGAUGCUUUGGUGUCCUUAAAUCACGGUGGAGAUGUUUACUACGUGAUAGAACGCUCCAUUAUCACCCUUAUGUCGCCAGCAGAAUCACAACUGCAUGUGCUGUACUGCACAAUAUUGCAUUACAUGCCCGCAUGCCCGAACCUGACGAGCUUCCACCAGCCAACGAUGAUGAUUUUGUGCAAAUAAAUAAUAUUCAAAAUCAUAAUGAUUUAAUCCAGGGCAGAGCCAUGCUAAAUAUUUUAGUUAAUAGAUUGUAGUUUGUUAAACAUUAUGACAGUUUGGUUUUUAUGUAAUUAGUUAGGUUAAUUGGUAAUAAUAUAAUUAGGUUAGAUAAGUAAAAACUAGGAUAAUAUCUGGAUAUUCUGUUUAAUCAUAUUUUUGAAAUACUAAAUAAACACUGAUCCAUCAUACAAUAAAGUCUUUCAAAUAAUCAACCUUAAUAAAAUAAAUGUUAUUUUGAUGAAAUACUGAUAAAUACUAGGGUUUUCACAUAACCAUGCAAAAAAACAAGUCAUAUUCAGUGUUCUAAUCAACAUUAUCCACAGAAAAUCUAACGAUAGUCUUUAUGUUUAUUAUUAAAACUUCUAUCACACAUAUUAAUUAAAACAUAAAAUAAAUCAAACAAAACAUUAAUUAUUAUUAAAACUUCUAUCACACAUAUUAAUUAAAACAUAAAAU
This is a non-coding RNA of Plutella xylostella (diamondback moth), 1289 nucleotides long. Lineage: Eukaryota; Metazoa; Arthropoda; Insecta; Lepidoptera; Plutellidae. The record is from RefSeq and is a predicted model, not a curated record.